AUACGGAGGGUGCAAGCGUUGUUCGGAAUUACUGGGCGUAAAGAGCACGUAGGCGGGUUCGUCAGCCAUUUGUGAAAGCCCAAGGCUCAACCUUGGAAUUGCAGGUGGAACUGCGAAUCUUGAAUACCUGAGAGGAUGAGGGAAUCCCUGGUGUAGAAGUGAAAUUCGUAGAUAUCAGGAGGAACACCCGAGGCGAAGGCGCUCGUCUGGCAGUGUAUUGACGCUGAGGUGCGAAAGCGUGGGGAGC
This 247-nucleotide ribosomal RNA is filed under the name uncultured bacterium. Its description in RNAcentral is "partial 16S ribosomal RNA". It matches the Rfam family "Bacterial small subunit ribosomal RNA", at positions 523 to 769 of the family's 1533-position model. The record is from RNAcentral.